AGGGCUCUUCAUUUCCGGGGGAAGCCGGCAUUGCAGUUCGCGAGACUUGUGGGAGGCGUUGGCUGCUCCUUCGUGGUCCCGUGGCCUCUGUCCGGGAAAGCCAGAAAUGAAGAUCACGAGGCAGAAACACGCCAAGAAGCAUCUUGGCUUCUUCCGCAACAAUUUCGGGGUCCGCGAGCCCUACCAGAUACUGCUGGACGGCACCUUCUGUCAGGCGGCGCUGCGGGGCCGCAUCCAGCUGCGGGAGCAGCUGCCGCGCUACCUCAUGGGGGAGACUCAGCUGUGCACCACCAGGUGUGUGUUAAAAGAGUUAGAAACGUUGGGAAAGGACUUAUAUGGGGCAAAGCUGAUUGCACAAAAAUGCCAGGUUCGAAAUUGUCCCCAUUUCAAGAGUGCAGUGAGUGGAUCAGAAUGUCUGCUUUCCAUGGUUGAAGAGGGAAAUCCUCAUCAUUAUUUUGUGGCAACACAGGAUCAGAGUUUGUCUAUGAAAGUAAAGAAAAAGCCUGGAAUUCCUCUCAUGUUUAUUAUUCAGAAUACUAUAGUUUUGGACAAACCUUCUCCAAAAACAAUUGCAUUUGUUAAAGCAGUAGAGUCAGGUCAGCUUGUCUCAGUGCAUGAGAAACAAAGCAUCAAGCACCUCAAGGAGGAACGGGGUUUAGUAAAAGACCCUGAACAGAGAAGAAGAAAAAAGCGCAAGAAAAUAAAAGGCCCCAAUCCUCUUAGCUGUUUGAAGAAAAAGAAAAAAGCAACGGAUACAAACUCAUCUGCCUCUGAGAAGAAAAGAAAAAGAAAAAGAAUCCGGAACAGAUCUACUUCAAAAGUACUUUCUGAAAAGCAGAAUGCAGAAGGAUAAUGAAUCCUUUGGAUACUUUUAAACACAUUCAAAUAUGAAAAAUAAGUUUCUUUUUGAAGCUGUGGAAAUAUUUAUGCAUCUGACUUGAUCUUGACACAUUCUUCAGUAACUCUGGAAAGGAUCUCAUAAUUUUUCAUAUGAUAAUAUCAGGUAAUUCCUUAUCCCUGGAGAUAAUUCUAGAGCCAUCCCUCUGUCUGCCAAUGUGGAAAGGUUUUCCACCAAGCAUGUUGCUCAGCUCUCACCCAGGCGCAUCCUGCCCUUAUACAGAGAAUCUACUCUCUCACUUUUGUAGCCUAGAUUCUUCAUUUUACUCUUUCCUGGUUUCCUCUUUUGCUGUGGUGGAGCAUAGAGUGUGUAGGAAGUACAUUUUUUGAGGCUCAUCCAAUGUGUUUAACCUCAUAUUUGUUGCACUGAUAAUCUAGCAAGGUAAAGAAUACUUGGUUACAAAUCAUUUCACUCAGUUUCUCUUGAGAACUUCUUAAUUGUUUAUAAGGCCCUAGGGGAAAGAAAUCCCUUUACUUUUUUUGAGUUCCAUUUAUCCAAUACAGAAGAGGAUUUUUUUAGAUGUAAAUGUUAACUUCAGUAGCAAAAAUUCCAGAAUAAUUCUCUUUCAGUUUGGCUAUAUAUGUUAUUUUUAAAAUGUCAAAAGGGUCAGUUCAAUUAGGAAUCAAAUAAUCAAACGACUUUUUCAGCUCCUUCCCCAAUUAUUUUAAUUAUUCAUCAGGCCAAAGUUGAAAUGUUUUUGCAGUGUAAGAUUGAAGUAUAAAGUUGUCAGAAGUGCAAUCAGUAGCUUCUGACUUUGAGCUGGCAGUGAUACUUUCAAAGUGGUUCUUAAUUUGUAUCCUUAGAAUAUUGCCAUGUAUGAAGUAUUUCAUGAAUAAGUUCUUACUUAUGCCUAAAAUAAGUGAUUUUUCUUAAAAAUGAGACAAUUCAAAUUUAUUCCUAUGGAAAUGUCAUUCUCAGUUGAAUUCAUAAUUGCUUUUUUUGGUGGAAAGUGGAACGUUAGCUCUACCUACACUGGGAAGAGCAGACAGGCUGUAUUUGGCAAGCCAGAUGAUUGUUCCUACUGUCAUUUCAUGAUUCUGGUUUAAAUUUAUGAUAGGAAUAUUUUUUAAAAGAAAAGCAAAGGUACUGGGAAAAACUGAAUAUAGUUCUAUAGUUCCUGUGAAGAGAAGUAACAUUUGUCAAUAAUGACAGAGUUAAGAAACAGAUCAAAUGUAGACAAAGUGAUAAAUCAAGUGAAAUGUACCCUGAUGACCUUCAUUUCAGUAUGCUGAAAUGCAUAAAUUACAGGUGUUUUUAACAAGGCUUAUGUUUACUCAGUGCUGUCUGAUUGCCUGUAUUUAGUUUAACAGCCUACACUGGAGAGCUGGAAAAGUCAUCUCAUUUUUAUGAAGUAGUAAUUUUUAAAUUAAAACACAAAAAUACAAAUGCAUUGUAAAACAUUUAAUAGCUUACAACUUGGAUUAGUCAUUUAUAUAUUUUCUCAGUAAAAAUUACUUUAAAUUUAACAGAAGGAUCUCAUAUCUUUGUACUUCAGUUCUUUAAAGAAUACUACCCUUUGCCACCACCCUGAAAAUCGCUAGCACUACUUGCUCUGUUUUCUCCAUACAAAUUAGGGAAGACGGGGGCCCUGGGAGUAUGCACAGGCAAUCAAUCCAUUUUGUGGUUUGGAAAAAAAUGUUCAGAACAUCUGCUUUAAAUGGUAGCUACUUGCUUUGUUGGGGAUAAAAGUGGAACACACGUGCUUUUCAACUCUGAAGUUUGCUAGACUAAAAACAAAUAGUAUUUCUGAAAACUGCUAUCCUUUUUGAACGCUUUAAAAUAAAGUGUUUGCAGUUGUGUUUGGGCAGGAUUCUGUAUUUCCUGCAUUUUCAAAGCCCUACAGCCAUUUUUUAUUCCCAUAAGUAUAUAAAGUAAAACUAGAAGUCAUUUCAGAACAACUGAAUUUCAAAAGCAAAAAGAUUUCCUGUCUUCUAUUUAUGCAUAAAGUUAAGAGUUAAGAGACUGUUUUAUGACUGCAUCUAGGUAAGGCAGAAUGGCUGUGACUUGACAGGUUUAAUUAAUAGGUUUUCAUGGAUGGGUAGAAUGAAUAUUUUAAAAUAUUUUAAAAAUAUGUCUUGAACUAUAGCUUAAGAAUUCUUAGUUGUAAAUGAAAAUGUAUAUAAAUGAAAAAAUGUGAUAACUUAGUAUAGCUCUACCUAUAUUGAAAUCCAAAACUGUUUGGGGAUAAAGACAAAAGAUUAGGUGUCUGGACUGAAUUUAGGAACUGAUUUCUCGUAUGAUCUUAGAUUAGUGGCCUCCAAAUAUUUAAUCAUGCAUCCUUGCCUGUAAAAAGCUUUUGUGUACACCUAUAAUGUGUAUAUUUAUCAACUAUAUAAAUUUACUACUGUACAUUCUAAGGUAUACACAAAAAUAUAAAGGAUAAAGAUAAGUUAUUUAAAAAUCUUUGCCAUUAGCUAAUAUUUCAAAAUACGAUGACUUCAUUAGCUAAUAUUUCAAAAUACGAGGCUUACCAAUUAUACUUGAUACGAAUCUACUUCAGGUAGUCUUAAUUACCUUAUUUGUCAGAUCUGUCUAGGUCUGGUUUUCCUUUAUAUUAAUGAUAAAGUGUACUAGGAGUAGGUGUCAAUACGUAUUUGUUGAAUAAGUGAAAAUAAGAGCAGGUCUACUACAAAGAGUCAUAGCUUCUCAACCAGUUUUCAGACCUAAACCAGCUCACAGGCCCAGAGCCCCUCAAUUUAAGGGGAGGCUGGGUUCCCUUGAGAAAGGUCCCUGGAAGCACUGCUACAAGUUUUCCUCUAAGCCUUCCCCCAAGGGACCUGUGGCCAUUUUCUAGAGUGAAUGUGCUUUGGGGAAUAGAAAUACCCAGGCCUUUUGGGGAUUACUAGACCCUGGCUCUGAAUUGAUGCUAAUUGCUGGGGACCCAAAAUGCAUCUGGUCCAACAUUAAAAGUGGAAGUUUAUGGUGGUCAGGUGAUAAGUUGUGUUGUAUGCGAAGUUUGAGUCACAGGUCCAUGAGCCCAACCUGUGUUUUUCCUCCAAUUCCAGAAUGUGUAAUUGCUAAAGACAUACUAGGCAUCUGGUUGUGUCUCCAUAUUAGCUCUCAUUUAUGGACUAAGGGUCAUUAUGGUAUGAAGAGCCAAAGGGCAGCUAUUGGAAUUUCUCCAUGCCAGAGUAGUAAACUAAAAGAAUAGGAUCUCUUUGGAGGAAAUGCAGAGAUUACUACCAUCAUUAAAUACUUGAAUGAUGCAGAAAUGUUGAUUCUUACUUCAUCUCCAUUUAACACAUCUCAUCUGUUUAGUCUGUAUAGAAGGCAGAUGGUUCUUAAAGCAUGACUAGAUUAUUUUAAUGUUAAUCCGAGGGUGACUAAUUUGCAGAACCUCUUCCAGAGAUAAUAUCUUUGCUGGAACAAAUCAACACAGCUCCUGGCACCUUGUAUGGAAAAUGCUUUUUUUUUCUCCUCUAAUUUUUAACAAUUUGCUAUGACCACCAAAAUCAGUUUGCUUUUCUUUGACAAGGUCAAUAGUACACCAUUACAGUCUGGCUUAUGCUAAUUUAGCACACCUGCCUUCAGCCAUAAUGAAGUCUGCAGAGAUCAUGAUCAUCUUAACAUUCCACACAUCACACUGACCCCCGACGUUGAUGACAUUGUGCAGGUUGAAUUUGAUGAGCAGGAAGUAGCAAAUGCUACGAACAUCUUAGUCAACUUAGGGACUUGGGAAGUAUGGGAUUGGAAGAUUGAUUAGAAGAGUGUCUGGUGAAGAGGUAUAUGGAUGGAUCUUUCUGAAUGGGCACAGAGUGUGAAGAUAUUUGGGUCCCACGUGAAAAAUCCAUCAGGCAUUCACUGUAGAGGAGACUCAAUUAUCAGGUGGUCAAAAUGGCACUUUCUGUAGAUGUCAGCUUCUUUUCCUGCCAUUGAGUGCUUGUUCAUUGGGCCUGUGAACAAAGUAGUUACAGUGGCAGAAAUGGAGACUAUGCAUGGUCUUCAUACCUAACCUGGCUAGCACUGCUGCUGAAUGCCUAAUGUGCCGAAAAGAGACAACCCUGAGCUCACAAUUAGGCACUGUUCCUUGUGGGGAGGGGAAAGGAACCAGUCAGCCAUAUGGUGGCAGGUUGGUAACACUGGAUCCUUUCCAUCAUGGAGGGAGUUGAAAUUUAUCCUUAAUGGAACAGGGCCUAUUCUGUAUAUGGAUUUUCUUUUCUUUCUUAUAAUGCUUCCAUCAGUAUCACUUAACAAAAUGCCUUAUUUACCAUCAUGGUAUUCUGCUAACACGGCUUCUGAUCAAAGAAUUUGUGGUAUUAAAUGGUCUUGCUUCAGUAUGUCACUAUUUACAGUGCCAGUUUAGAGACAGCACCUUGAAAGGAUGGAUAUUCUCUUGCAAGAUGCACGAUAAGCUUUGAAUCAGAGGCCACCAUGUGGUGCGUCUCAUCCAUACCUAGAAUACACAGGUCCUGUACUUAAAAGGAUGGAAGUGGAAGUACUCUUCUUCUCACCUUUACAUCUUAUAACCCACUCAGAGAAUUUUUAUUUCCUCCCCCAUGACUGAGCUCUGCUGGAUUGGAAAUAUCGUUCCCAAAGGAGAAAUGUUCUACCAAGGGUGCAGCAAUAAUUCCAGUGAUAUGGAAGAUGAGACUGUCACCAGGUCAUCUGGGAGUUUCUUAUGCUUCUGAACCAACAGGCAAAAAAGAGAGUUACUAUACUGGCUAGGAUGAUUGCUCCUGAUUUCAGUUAGCAAAUUGGAUUGCUGCUACAAGAUAAGAGUAGGGAGGGCUGUUUCUGGAAUCAACGAGAGUCUUUAAGAGGCUACUUAGGUGCUUCUAUAUCUGAUAGUAAAUGUUAAUUAAAAACUACAGCAAACAAAGGGAGGCAAAACUACUAUGUAUUCAUAUACUUCAGGAAUGAAGGCUUGUGUUACCUCACCAAUUAAAGAACAAAUUGAGGUUCUGCCUGAUGUCAAAAGAAACAUAGAAUGGGUAGUGGAAUAGCCAGCCUCCAAGAUGGUGCCCAAAUAGUCUCACCUCCUGGUAUAUAUGAGCCUGUGUGUCCUCUUUCACACGGGAUAGAGCUGACUCAUGUAACCAGUAUAUCAAUAUUAUGAAAAUGAUGGUGUGUAACUUCUGAAGCUAGGUCCUAAAAACAUAGUAGCUUCCAUCUUGCUUUCUCUUGGAGCACUUGUUCUUGGGGGAAGCCAGCUCCUAUAUUGUGAGGCUGUUUAAGCUCUAGAGAAUUCUACGUGGAGAGAAAAGGAAGCCUCCUGCCAACAGCCAGCAUCACUUUACUUGCAACGUGAGUGAGCCGUCUUGGAAGUGAAUUCUCUAAUCCUCAAACCUUCUGAUGACUGCAACCCAGCAAACAUCUUGACUGUGACUUCAUGGGAGGCAGAACCACUCAGUUAAGCCAAUCCUGAAUUCCUGACCCAUGGAAACCACGUGAGAAAAAUGUUGUGUUAAGCCAUUAAGUUUUGGAGUAAUUUGUUAUGCAGCAAUAAACAAUAAUGGAAGAAAGAAGUUUAAUAUAUCAAAUAUGGACUUGUGACUAGUUAAAUAAAUUAUGUUUCUAACAGCUA
Molecule: RNA transcript, 6422 nt
Organism: Camelus dromedarius (Arabian camel)
Lineage: Eukaryota; Metazoa; Chordata; Mammalia; Artiodactyla; Camelidae
Gene: UTP23
Gene name: UTP23 small subunit processome component
Exons: 4
Source: RefSeq, a predicted model, not a curated record